UCUCCGUAGGUGAACCUGCGGAGGGAUCACUACAGGCUUGCAAAAGCUCUGAAACCACUGUUUAUCUACCUGAAUCUGCUUCGGCGGGCGGCCCCAGGGCGGGGCCGUGGCCGCAAGGCGCCCGCCGAAGACCCCUAAACUCUGUCCUUUUGAGAAUCUCUGAGUAACAUAUUAAACAAAAAAACAACUUUCAACAACGGAUCUCUUGGCUCUG
This 214-nucleotide unclassified non-coding RNA is filed under the name plant metagenome. RNAcentral describes it as "partial contains small subunit ribosomal RNA, internal transcribed spacer 1, and 5.8S ribosomal RNA". The record is from RNAcentral.